CAUCGUGAGGUGGAAUCUGAAAGAAGUCAAGAGCAAAAUCUCGGUCUGACGAACAGAAAUCACAUAUAAGGCUGAAUUGAGUUGGGCGAGCUUGCCAAACAAAGCAAAGCCCUAGUAACUAUUCAAGGCUCAUACAGUAAAUGUGGCAGAUAUAUGAGAGGAAGGUUGUU
This 170-nucleotide non-coding RNA is filed under the name human gut metagenome. The record is from RNAcentral.